This 525-nucleotide long non-coding RNA is filed under the name Sus scrofa (pig). RNAcentral describes it as "lncRNA (ENSSSCG00070008621.1)". Lineage: Eukaryota; Metazoa; Chordata; Mammalia; Artiodactyla; Suidae. The record is from RNAcentral.
GGUCCUGAGGUUCCAUCUUGAUUCUAAAUCACCCAUUUCCUUUCCUAUGGCCUCCCUAACCUGGUGGCUGCCCCUGGACACAGAAUGUUACAUGGCAGGUAACGAGAAUUCUGACAAGGAAAGCAGAAUUAAGCGGAAGCGGAAACGCUCCCUGUUCCUGAGUUUAAGAAAAGCAUUUGGGGGGACAGCCUCUGAUGCCGAUGAUGAGCACACCUAGGAAGAGGCAGUGUCGAUGUGGCAGACUGGGGGUGCAAAGAUUGUCGGUCUGACACCAGUGACAGCCUGGAUGUGGACACCCCCAGCCUGUCUCAGAAUCUCCAUACCAUCAGGACCUCCACAUAGUCAAGCACAGCAGAAGCCUCACUCAAUGCUCACCUCCUAGGGCACCUCACUUAGUGUAAUCUCUGUUGUUUAAUUGCGUAUCCCUUGUUUUAUCCUUUAGUUUUAUCUAUAUGUUCUACGUGUUCAGUAUUUAUCUCUAUGUUGUGUUUUAUGAAAUAAAAUGUUUCUUAUUAAUUUAUUACA